UAAAAAGCUCGUAGUUGAACCUU
RNAcentral lists this non-coding RNA (23 nucleotides) under Arabidopsis thaliana (thale cress). The record is from RNAcentral. Lineage: Eukaryota; Viridiplantae; Streptophyta; Magnoliopsida; Brassicales; Brassicaceae.